This 462-nucleotide ribosomal RNA is filed under the name uncultured bacterium. Its description in RNAcentral is "partial 16S ribosomal RNA". It matches the Rfam family "Bacterial small subunit ribosomal RNA", at positions 30 to 507 of the family's 1533-position model. The record is from RNAcentral.
AGCGAACGCUGGCGGCAUGCUUAACACAUGCAAGUCGCGCGGGUGGUUUCGGCCAUCAGCGGCGGACGGGUGAGUAUCGCGUAGGAAUGUAUCCCGAGGUGGGGGACAACCCUGGGAAACUGGGGCUAAUACCGCAUGGGGCCUGUGGGUCAAAGCCUUAGGGCGCCUUGGGAGCAGCCUGCGUCCGAUUAGGUAGUUGGUGCGGUAAAGGCCUACCAAGCCUGCGAUCGGUAGCUGGUCUGAGAGGACGAUCAGCCACACUGGAACUGAGACACGGCCCAGACUGGUACAGGAGGCAGCAGUAGGGAAUAUGCCGAAAUGGGCGAAAGUCUGACGGAGCAAUGCCGCGUGAGUUAUGAAGGUCUUCGGAGCGGAAAGAUGUGGUAUGAGGGAAGAACAAAUGUGUAAGUAACUAUGGACGUCGUGACGGUAACUAAGGAGAAAGCCACGGCUAACUACGUG